RNAcentral lists this ribosomal RNA (1319 nucleotides) under human gut metagenome. RNAcentral describes it as "bacterial SSU rRNA". It matches the Rfam family "Bacterial small subunit ribosomal RNA", at positions 40 to 1382 of the family's 1533-position model. The record is from RNAcentral.
CGGCGUGCCUAACACAUGCAAGUCGAACGGGGUCAGUUGCUUCGGUGAUUGACUUAGUGGCGAACGGGUGAGUAACGCGUGAGGAACCUGCCUUUCAGUGGGGGACAACAGUUGGAAACGACUGCUAAUACCGCAUAAUGCAGCUAGACCGCAUGGUCUUGCUGCCAAAGCUUUAUGUGCUGAAAGAUGGCCUCGCGUCUGAUUAGCUAGUUGGUGGGGUAACGGCUCACCAAGGCGACGAUCAGUAGCCGGUCUGAGAGGAUGAACGGCCACAUUGGGACUGAGAUACGGCCCAGACUCCUACGGGAGGCAGCAGUAGGGAAUUUUCGGCAAUGGGGGGAACCCUGACCGAGCAACGCCGCGUGAGUGAUGACGGCCUUCGGGUUGUAAAGCUCUGUUAAUCGGGACGAAUGUGUUGAGUGUACCUUUCGAAUAAGCACCGGCUAACUACGUGCCAGCAGCCGCGGUAAUACGUAGGGUGCAAGCGUUAUCCGGAAUUAUUGGGCGUAAAGCGCGCGCAGGCGGAUCAGUCAGUCUGUCUUAAAAAGUUCGGGGCUUAACCCCGUGAUGGGAUGGAAACUGCUGAUCUAGAGUAUCGGAGAGGAAAGUGGAAUUCCUAGUGUAGCGGUGAAAUGCGUAGAUAUAUGGAGGAACACCAGUGGCGAAGGCGACGAUCUGGCCUGUAACUGACGCUCAGUCCCGAAAGCGUGGGGAGCAAAUAGGAUUAGAUACCCUAGUAGUCCACGCCGUAAACGAUGAGUACUAAGUGUUGGAAGUCAAAUUUCAGUGCUGCAGUUAACGCAGUAAGUACUCCGCCUGAGUAGUACGUUCGCAAGAAUGAAACUCAAAGGAAUUGACGGGGGCCCGCACAAGCGGUGGAGUAUGUGGUUUAAUUCGACGCAACGCGAAGAACCUUACCAGGUCUUGACAUACUCAUAAAUGUUCCAGAGAUGGAAAGAUAGCUAUAUGAGAUACAGGUGGUGCAUGGUUGUCGUCAGCUCGUGUCGGGAGAUGUUGGGUUAAGUCCCGCAACGAGCGCAACCCCUGUUGCCAGUUGCCAGCAUUAGGUUGGGGACUCUGGCGAGACUGCCUCUGCAAGGAGGAGGAAGGCGGGGAUGACGUCAAAUCAUCAUGCCCCUUAUGACCUGGGCUACACACGUGCUACAAUGGACGGAUCAGAGGGAAGCGAAAUCGCGAGAUGGAGCGAAACCCAGAAACCCGUUCUCAGUUCGGACUGCAGUCUGCAACUCGACUGCACGAAGCUGGAAUCGCUAGUAAUCGCGAAUCAGAAUGCCGCGGUGAAUACGUUCUCGGGCCUU